RNAcentral lists this ribosomal RNA (1562 nucleotides) under Pristimantis cf. briceni CVULA 8353. RNAcentral describes it as "16S ribosomal RNA". It matches the Rfam family "Bacterial large subunit ribosomal RNA", at positions 380 to 2925 of the family's 2925-position model. Lineage: Eukaryota; Metazoa; Chordata; Amphibia; Anura; Strabomantidae. The record is from RNAcentral.
CUAAAAAUCUAGCCCUCCCCAUCCCACCCCUAAUCAAAACCCAAAACAAAAUAUUUUAUCUGUUUAGUAAAGAAGAUUAAAAAACUUUUAAGAGCUAUAUUCUAGUACCGCAAGGGAAAAAUGAAAUAAAAUGAAAAUCUAAAGCAUAAAAUAGUAGAGACUUAACCUCGUACCUUUUGCAUCAUGGUUUAGCUAGUCUAACCAGGCAAAAUGGACCUUUUAAGUCUGACUUCCCGAAACUAAGUGAGCUAUUUUAGGGCCGCUAAACGAGCCAACCCUUCUAUGUUGCAAAAUAGUGGGAAGACCCUAAAAUAGAGGUGAUAAGCCUAACGAACUUAGUUAUAGCUGGUUUCUCAAAAAAAGAAUUUUAGUCCAACCUAAAGCAAUGUAGAUUCAAAUAAAUUUCACCUACCCUUUAGAGCAAUUCAAAUAAGGUACAGCCUAUUUGAUACAGGAUUCAACCUUCACCCACGGGUAAUAUUUUAUUAUAUUUACAAGUAGGCCUAAUAGCAGCCACCUUUUAAAAAGCGUCAAAGCUUUAACACUUUAAAUCUAACUCCACACAUACACCCCUCAAACCCUACUGAGAGCUUCUAUAAACUUAUAGAAAUUUUUAUGCUAAAACUAGUAACAAGAGUUUAAUACCCUCUCUUUAAUGUACAUAUAUGUCAGAAAAAUUCCUUCUGACAAUUAACAAACCUAAAUCACAGUAGUAACUUUCCCAGGAAAAUCCUACUAUCAUAAUUGUUAACCUAACACAAGCACAUUUCAAGAAAGACCAAAAGAAAGAGAAGGAACUCGGCAAACAUUAAUCCCGCCUGUUUACCAAAAACAUCGCCUCUUGAACCCAUAAGAGGUCCCGCCUGCCCAGUGACUCUGUUCAACGGCCACGGUAUCCUAACCGCGCAAAGGUAGCGUAAUCACUUGUCUUCUAAAUAAAGACUAGUAUGAAAGGCAUCACGAGGAUUAAACUGUCUCCUCUCCCUAUUCAGUGAACCUAUUCUCCCCGUGAAGAAACGGGGAUGUAAAAAUAAGACGAGAAGACCCUAUGGAGCUUUAAACAUCAUAACACCUGCUUUAAUUCCCUCACCCAGGUUACUCCCCAUAGCACAGUGAUUAUAUGUUUUUGGUUGGGGCGACCGCGGAGUAAAAACAACCCUCCGCGAUGAAAACUUCCCUAAACAAUAAGCCACAACUUUAUGUAUUAACAAAUUAACAUUCAUUGACCCAAUUUAUUGAUUAACGAACCAAGUUACCCUAGGGAUAACAGCGCAAUCCACUUCGAGAGCCCAUAUCGACAAGUGGGCUUACGACCUCGAUGUUGGAUCGGGAUACCCAAGUGGUGCAGCCGCUACUAAAGGUUCGUUUGUUCAACGAUUAAAACCCCACGUGAUCUGAGUUCAGACCGGAGUAAUCCAGGUCAGUUUCUAUCUAUUAUACAGCUUCUUUUAGUACGAAAGGACCCAAAAAGCAUGGUCAAUACCCAAAGCAAACCAUAAUUCUUAAUUUUAGACCUCAACUCAAAAAAUUAUUAACUUACUCUCUCCAUCAAGAAAAGAAUA